AUUUAGGAAUUCUGGUGAGUUGUAAGCCACACGGAUGUAGUUUCUGUGAGCAUGAUUCAGUGAGAAAACCCUAGGCUGAGAGUCAGAAACCUGCUUUGGACCAGCCGGGUCUCUGGAUGUGCCCGGGGUAUCUUGUGAGGUAGCGACACACAAAACCCAGAAACUCAAAUAGCAAGACUUCAAAAGACUUCCACGUUAGGGUUGAAAACAGUGAAAUCAGUUGUUCCACUUAACAUACAGGAAUGUGUAGAACAUUUCACUGAUUCGACUUCCGUUUUAUCCUGUGUGAAACGUAGAUAUUGUACGUCUCCUGCUUGCUUUUUAGGGUUGUUGGCAGGAUAAAUGAAAAUGCGUGAUGGACACCCUGGGAACCCAGAAGAAAGGUGCCUUUGAAAGUAAACCUCAUGCGAGGGCUGUGCGCUCAGCAGCGGCAGUCUUCAUGCUGAGAGGCUGCUGUAGUGCAUCCUCUGGGGAGCGCCGGGAGCGUGGGCGCUGGGGCCAGGCUGCCUCGCGUCGCAUCCCACCUCGGCCCUUUGCAGGUGGUCGGAUCGAGACAGUUAUCUAACCCCUCUGUGCCGCAGCUUCCUCUUGAAAGUGGGGUUGAUAAUAACAGUACCUGCUCAGAGCGUCAUGAAGAGUCCUAGGUGAGCUGCUGCAUGUGAAGUGUGUACUUAGAGCAGCGGCCGGCAGGCAGUGUGGCCAUGGCCGUGGCAUCUGGGCCCGAUCCUGCGCGCCAGGAGAAACCCAGGCAGCGUGGGAGUUCCCAUGAAAUGGAAUUUCCUACACCUUGCAGAAAACUAAACUUGAAAGGUGUCCCUGUUAGUAUUCUGCUAUUGUCUUGGAGGCCCAGGCAGCUUACAGGAAGAGGCACUGGCUAGUUUAUGGGGAUCAGGCACCUCUCAAACAAUGUAAGUUCAGGUGCUGCAGGUUAAAUCUGGGCUCCUAACCUUUUCGGGAGAAAAGUUUAGAUAAUUAAGAGCUUAUUGGCCCUUUGUUGGCAGGUUCUUUUGUUUUAGCUGUUUUUGGCUACGGAGGCACAGGAAAGACCCGUGGGAGAGACCCCAUCCUUUACUUAGUCAGCACUUACUCAUUCUCUCAGCUUCAGUCAGCUGUCUAGUGGGCUUUCCCAGAGUCAGAAAGCAUUUAUGUGGUGAGAGAUUUUUACCUUGCUGUAGGAGGCUUCCCUGCUUCAUCCUCAGUAGAAUAAGGGGGAAGAAAGUCACUGCUGUGUGUCACAUAUUCCCAAGCGUUUCCACAUAAUUAUAUACACUUAUCUAUGAGGUCGGUGGUGUUUGUUAACCCUGUUUCGCACCUGAGAACACCGACACUCAGGUCGGUUAAAUAAACUCGUGCAGGGUCACACCCCUAGCAGGUUGCAAAACUGGGACUUGAAUCCAGGAGCUGCCCUUCUGGUACCUGCUGCCUUGUGCUUGCCGGCAAACCUGGCUGCACCCCUGACAGGAGAUCCUGCCACUUGGUUGCAGGGGCCUCCUCUGCAUGCAUUUGUGUCCCUCAGCCGUCAGUGCCCCAGACUUACUUAGUGAGGCCUCCAGCACCCCACCACCCGCAUCACUAGGAAGGCCCCGCCGUUCGCGUGGCGCCUGGAGGGGCUGCAUAGCAGCGGCUUCCUUGCUCUUGGCUGCACGUCCAGGAUCCCUUGUACAGCUUUAAAAUGUGGAGCACUGGCCCCAUCCCAGACUCUGAGCUGCCUGUUCUAGCAGAGAACCAUCGAUCAGAGCACAAAGAUGCAGGAUGUUUAUGUUACUCGUAAGGAAAAGCUAUCACUAAUCCAGAACACGGGCCAGUGCCGUUAAUUCUAUAGUUAGCUGCAUUGUAAGCUACAGUGGGCCUUUGUGGGCCAGUGUGGUGGUGCACUCACCAGCAACCAGCAGCCAUUUUGUGGGAAGAGUCCCAGCUGUCCUUUCGGUGGGAUGUAGUCUUCUGGAAGUGGGCAUCUGACCAUCACAAAAACCAGGUUUGAGAUCGCUCAUGGGGCGAAAUGAAGCAGUGGGCUGUCUCCUUUCUCCUUCGCCUUUUCACUUUCUUUUCUCUGCCCUACUUGCGUGCAUUUAUUUUUUACAACCCUCCUUCCCUCUCCUCCCCAACCCUUCCCUGUCUUAUCUUUCCUCUGUUUCUCUUUUUCUCCAUCGUCUGCCAGAUGCUUCUGAGUGUUUCUGUCAUCAGACUGUAAAUGCUUGAAAUCCUGCAAGGGGCCGGGCACAUCGCAGGUGUUCCUAGCAGUUGACGCGUCUCGGUAUGUCCUGGGAUCUUUCAGAGGUGAAGGCACUACCCUGAGUCACCUUGAAAGUUGUCAGAUUUUGUUUGUGAUCAUCAACCUUAAGUUGGGUGCUUUAUCUUGAAAAUUCAGAUAAUCUGGCAUGACAGUUUGAGAAACGCCGUCACUAACUAGGACAGAGUGCUGGCCAAUGAUGGACUUGACCCCUCUAGAGGCACUGGCAUCCGGCUUUUAGUGUAUUUGCUGCUGAAGGUCUGAGGUCAUGGGUCAGGCCCCCCAUUUUGGUGACGAGGAGCCAUUCCUGAGAGGGGGAGCCCUUCCCGGAGGCCCUCAGCCAGUCCAGACUUGCUGCCCGGGGAGGGGAGCAGAGCCAGCGCUGGGGCGCGUGGAUGCCCUGUGGCCGUGCACGGUGACCUGUGUGCCUCGGGAGAUGACGGAGAAAUACCCGGCCCUGAUGGGUAGGCUGGUGGGUAGGAGGGGCCCCUGCGCUGAGCAGGCCCCUUGGGGGGCAGUUCUGAUGGCGUUUAACCCCUCUGGAGGCGGUAGGAGACCAAGAAACAUGGUCCAAGUGUGAAAAGUUAUUUUAUGUCAUUCUUCAGUGAAAAUCUGCCCUCGCCAGCAGGGGGGCGACUGAAGGCCAAGGCGGCAGCAGGAUCGUUGCUCAGUCAGGAGCGAAGGGGAAGCAUCUCCUGUUUGUGCUCGUUUGUGGGUGCCAUCUCCCUGGGAAACCGUGGCCCUGGUUACCGUGGCACCAGGUGACAUGCCUCCGAAUCACAGGAUUUAGACCAGACUUUCCACUUUCCACACGUGUCUCUAGAGACCUGAGCACGUGACCUCUGAGGCGGCAGCACAGUUUGAGAUCGUAGAAGGCCCCUUACGAAGUGACACUGGUGCUCCUCGGAGCACAGCGGUUAUGGCUCACUUCAAGGUUUCUCCACAGAGAGAAACAUCAGCAAACACACCUGGAAUAGCUCUCACCACACACUUGUUCAUGGGCGCAGCAAGAAGAGAGAUCCACAGAGCUGGAGCCGUGAGGGCUGACAUAUUGGAAUGAAAGCUGGCAGAAUUCGUAGGGAGAGCUUUGCCAUCCUGCCAGCUCCAUAUCUGGCUUCAAGACAAUUCUAUUAGUGAAUUAAUUGUACUCAAAACCUGAAAUUAAUUUGAACUGAAUGUUACUAAAAAGAUUAAAGUGACCCAGUCUUGCUUCA
Molecule: long non-coding RNA, 3444 nt
Organism: Aethalodelphis obliquidens (Pacific white-sided dolphin)
Lineage: Eukaryota; Metazoa; Chordata; Mammalia; Artiodactyla; Delphinidae
Exons: 3
Source: RefSeq, a predicted model, not a curated record